UUUCCUCUUCGGAGGCACCUGCACAGGUGCUGCAUGGCUGUCGUCAGCUCGUGUCGUGAGAUGUUGGGUUAAGUCCCGCAACCGAGCGCAACCCUUAUCCCCAGUUGCCAUCAGGUAAAGCUGGGAACUCUGGGGAGACUGCCGGUGGAUAAACCGGAGGAAGGCGGGGAUGACGUCAAGUCCUCAUGGCCCUUACAUCCCGGGCUACACACGUGCUACAAUGGCAGGUACAGAGGGCUGCGAAGCCGCGAGGUGGAGCGAAUCCCAGAAACCUGUCUCAGUCCGGAUUGAAGUCUGCAACUCGACUUCAUGAAGGCGGAAUCGCUAGUAACCGCGAAUCAGCAGGUCGCGGUGAAUACGUUCCCGGGCCUU
Molecule: ribosomal RNA, 372 nt
Filed under: uncultured Latescibacterota bacterium
Lineage: Bacteria; Pseudomonadati; Candidatus Latescibacterota
Description: bacterial SSU rRNA
Rfam family: Bacterial small subunit ribosomal RNA
Source: RNAcentral